CCUAAUAUCAUUGCUAUGUGAAUGGAAAGAUGUUUAUGUACAAUAUAGCAGGGUCAUCUAAUGCUAGAGCUGGUUAUUAAAUAAGAAGCCAUUUGGGUAUAGAAUAGUGAUAUUGGGGAACUAAAUAGUAUCUGGCAAUACUUAAGCAACUCCUUAUAGAAGUCAGAAGGACAAGAGUCCCCUCUUCAAGAAUUGUUAAGAAGAGACAGUGUUUUAUUGGAUGACUGUUUAAAUUUAAAGACUUCCUUUAAGAAUAUUUAAGUUUAAAAACGGUCACUUUGAGAGCAAAAAGACAGCUAUAUAUGACAUAAGGGUGUUUGGACUAAUCUGAAGCAGAAUUUCAACUCCUGUUGAACUCUGGUGGAACUAAAGGCAUAUGUCAGAAAACGGACUAAAUCAGGGAAAGAGGUAAAACUCUAAACUUCAAAAAUAUACUGAGAAUUUCCUUCCACAAAGGCAGUUACAAUCCUGCUGUAACUGCUGCAGCAGAUGCAUGUAUUUCCUGGGUGCCCUAGUUCAAAAUUUCCUCUCCUUAUUCCACUGUUGUACAACUAGCUGUAUGCUGGUGGGUUGCUGUUGUCCACCUCAGAGGUGGCUGGAUUUCAGCAACUCUGCACAGAGAUCGUUUGUGAAGCUCUUCGGUAACUAUCAGGCAUAGAAGUUGUAAAAUGUGAAAAUAUUCUCAGUUCCUUUUAGCCAGAUAAUUUCACUGCUCUAGCCAUAGAUGACUCAUGUCUCCCGAUCCUGGGGGCGGGGUGGGGACACAAAUCUAAAGGGGAGGACACGUGACUGCCCCACAUGUCUCCUUUGCCCAGCGACCUCUGCCCUCUGCUGUCCUGUGCCCAGCCCGGGGCUGCCGCACUCUCCCCAGCCCACCAGUUACCUGCUGGGAAGAGGGGAGUCUGUCGUCCUACUGCGACCCUCUCUCCCGCCCCCUGGCAUGUUCAGCCGCUCUCCCUGGCAGCCGGGCCUGGGUGGGGCACGGAAGGGAGACACUUCUCACGCCAGUUGAAGCUGGCCACUCUGAGUCACCGACUCUGUGCAGUGCGGCCGCUCCCUGAGAGCCUGGCUGGGGCGGCAGCCUGCACUACUCCCUCUCUUCCCAGCCCAGCUCAAAAUUUCCCCUCCUUACUCCACUGUUGUACAACUGUCUGUAUGCUGGUGGGUUGCUGUUGUCCACCUCAGAGGUGGCUGGAUUUCAGCAACUCUGCACAGAGAUCGUUUGUGAAGCUCUUUGGGGACUAUCGGGCAUGGAAGUUGUAAAAUGUGAAAAUAGUCACAGGUCCUUUUAGCCAGAUAAUUUCAUAUGAACUGUCCAGAGAACAUCCAAGUGAAUCAGAGCUGGUUGGGGGCGUUUAUUGGGGACUGAAACCACCUGAGAGAAGCUGAUGGGUUCAAUAAUCCCGGAUGAUAAAUAAUGCACAGCAAAUGGCCUGGCAGAAAUUAUAUUCCUGUUUAAAUGUAUCGUGUUAUGUAUACCUGAAGAUUAUACAAUUCUCUCUCCCCCUUAUAGAGGAGGAGAAGAACUCAGAAGAGACUUUAUCAAAGAGCCAGGCUGACAACUCCUCCAAUGAAGAGAAUCCAGACUAUGAAAAUAUCUCAAAGGAGAAUCAGAAGCCAGAGGAAGAGAAGAACUCGAGCCUAAAUCAAUGAACCUGCCUGAUCCUCGCUCCAAUCAAGAGAAUCCAGAUCUUAAACUGGAAAGUGAGGCAGACUAACAACGCUAUGGACUAAACUCCAUUGCAGAGUGACAAAAGACACUGGGAGAAGAAAUAUCUUGUGGCUGUUGCCAACGGGUGCUGGAGUUCUCCCUAACAGAUGUGUUUUGAAGAUUCAUUUAUUUGUUCUCAAGCUUCAUAGACUAUCACGGUUGGAAGGGACCGCAGAAGGUCAUCUAGUCCAACCCCCUGCUCAAAGCAGGACCCAUCCCCAAAUCGCCCACUCAAGGAUUGAGCUCACAACCUUGGGUUCAGCAGGCCAAUGCUCAAACCACUGACUAUCUCUUCCACCAAUGCCCACUUUUAUCUUUCCAGGUCAGAUGUCCUCUUUCUUCGAUAUCAGUUAUUUUGAAAAUGGACAGAGUGAGUCAAGGAGCAAAUCCUUUUGCAUCCGUGCUCCUUUUUGUACUUUUGUUUUACAAGCAAGUGAACCUGAAACAUAGGAGCCAGGUUUAUUUAUGCCAAUAUUUCCAGACAUUAACUAACAGAAGUGAAUGUGGACAAAUCAAAAACUAAUGGACAUGAUAUAAAACUCUAACUGUAACAUUAUUUAAAUUCAGAAGAGAAGAGCGUUCAGAAGGGCAACUCUCAUUUUCUCCACCUCCCUAUCUGAAAGAAAAGGCCAUAACAACACUGUCCAUGAAUAGAUCAGCAACAGCUUUCCUGGCUCUUGUUUCUAUCUGUCCUUCCAGAAAGCACCACCAUCACCCUCCACCACCACCACCAAAUUCUGACUUUUUUUGAAUAGCAAAAGGCAGGCACACCUUCUUGCUCAAUGGAGAUGGUAUCAACUCUGCUAUGUACUCUAGCCCAGCGGUUCUCAAACUGUCGGUUGGGCUCAGAAGUGGGUCACGACCCUGUUUUAAUGGGGUCGCCAGGGCUGGCGUUAGACUUGCUGGGGCCCAGGGCUGAAGCCAAAGUCUGCGCCCCUCCGCCCAGGAGGGGGGCUGAAGCCAAAGCCUGAGGGCUUCAGCCCUGGGCAGCAGGGCUCAAGUUACAGUGUCUCUCCCCCCACCCCACACACACACCCAAGGAGGCAGGGCUCAGGCUUCGGUUUUUGUUGUCAGAAGGGGGUCGUGAUGCAAUGACGUUUGAGAACCCCUGUUAGCCAAACAAUGUAUCCUCAGAUUCUAGGGUAAGUGUCGAGCAAUUGCAUCUGUGGCACCCACAAUUGUGUCAAAACAGCUGAUUUAAAAGCAUCAGCACAGACACUUCAUUCACUAUCAGAAGGAGAUUAUCAACCAAUGAAAUCACUACAGUCUCUGUGCCAAACCCAGGUCUCAAACUGGUGUGACCAGAGUCAAGGCAAUUGGAGGACUCCAUCUCCUCAAUAUAUGUUCCACUCUAUAUGCAUCCGAAGAAGUGGGAUGUAGCCCACGAAAGCUUAUGCUCUAAUAAAUUUGUUAGUCUCUAAGGUGCCACAAGUACUCCUGUUCAUUUUUCCCUCUGUAAUCUUCUUCCCAAAGAAGGAAACCAUUAACAGUCACUUUCUUAAGAAAUAGUGGCACCCACUUGCAUUGGUCCCUCCAACUGGAUGUUGUGCAAAAAGUAAAGAAACAGCAACUGACCGGGAGAAAUGCAUUCCAUUUUUAAUAUUGUUUCAUUUUAUUACUCUAAAAUGUUUUUAGUAACACCGAUAAAGAAUUUUUAUAAAUAAGGCCAGAUUUAUUGGUAUGUUCCAGCUGCUUUGCAUUAUAGCCCAUGAGCUUUAACUUGACAACGAACCAAAUUAGUGUCCAAAUUGUUAUGAUAUUGAAGUCAUAAGAGAAAGUCAAACUCAUAGUGCAGACCUAGGUUAUCCUUUCCUAUAAGCAAGACUUUCAACUGCUAACGUUCUAGGAAAAGUACACAUCUUACCUUUCAUGCCAUUAGGGUGCCCAAGUUUAAUAACGAGAUUGUUUGAUGCACUCCUUUGUGAUUAUAGAGCUAGUUACUUACUUAAUGCUCACUCAUUUUUGCACGACACUUGAAAAUCUAAAGAUGCUAUACAGGAAUUAGAUAUUAUCCCCCUUUUACAGAUGGGAAAAGAGAGGCAAAAAAGUUAAAAUUCUGUAUUUUCCAAAGACCCCACAAAUUUAGGGUGCCCUUUUGAGAUACGUGGGGCUUAAUAUUUCAGACAUGCUGAGCACCCACAGCUCUCACUUCAGCAUCUCUGCAAUUCAGGGCUUUGAUAUAUGAAGUUAGGCACCCAAAAAAUCUACAUACUUUUGGGCAGUGGUUCUCAAACUUUUUUUUUUUUUUUUUUUUUUCACAGACCACUUGUUAAUU
Trachemys scripta elegans is the source of this 3986-nucleotide long non-coding RNA. RefSeq lists it as uncharacterized. The transcript is spliced from 4 exons. NCBI's taxonomy places the organism in Eukaryota, Metazoa, Chordata, Testudines, Emydidae. The record is from RefSeq and is a predicted model, not a curated record.